ACAGAAGCUGUGGAAGGCGCCAUCCUGCCUGCCACAGGAAGGGCCUUGGACUGAGAGGACCGGAGCUGACUGGGGAUUAUUCAAAGCCAAAAGCCAACAGAGCCCCCAUGGAGAAGUGGAGGAUGCUCAGAUACUGCUAUGGAGCCCUGAGAAGUGAAAUGGGUCCAAGCCCUUGCCCAGGAUAGAGCGCUCCAAGCGCAUCCUCCGGGGACCCUUUUAAUCAGUGAAUUGUUCACCUCUCACUGUUUCUUCCCAGCAGAGCUAAGAGACUUCUAGAGCCUCUUGUGGAUGGUCAGCGAUAGCCCUGGAAGUUUUUGCAGAAGGGGUUUGCUGGGUGGCAGUGGAACACAGGCAGUGGACCCCUCUACUACUCUACUGUUCCAGAACACAGAAGCCUUUCAUUGAGAGUGUUCAGCUCUUCCCAUUGCUCAAGAUGCUUGUACCCGUGAUGCUUCUUUUCUCUGCUUAGGUCACAAUAUGUGGAGCUGACAAGGUUCCCCUAUUAUCAGUGACAAUGGUGGAAUGUGGAGGUGAAGUUAACACCUUCGUGGCUACAGAGUUUCCUUAGCAGAGCUGUGGAGUGUGACAAUGGUGUUUGUGUCUAAACUAUCAAACGCCAUUAUCACACUAAAUAGCUACUGCUAGGCAAUCCUUCCCUCGAUAAAUGUCUUGGCAUCGUUUGCUUUGAGCAAGAAGGUUCAUCUGAUAUCAGUCUUCUCAAUCUUGUGUACUUACUGAAUAAAGUCUGGCUCUUUUGCACUCAUAACCAAUAUGGUUAGCUGAACCCUGCCUCUCACAUGCUGUUGUUACAUACCUUAGCUGGUGAUUAAUUUUCUUGUUUUCCCAAGUCAAUAAAAAGAUUGCAGACCAGG
Molecule: long non-coding RNA, 872 nt
Organism: Homo sapiens (human)
Lineage: Eukaryota; Metazoa; Chordata; Mammalia; Primates; Hominidae
Gene: MIR122HG
Product: MIR122 host gene
Source: Ensembl